GUCAGGUGUGGUGACGCACACCUGUAAUCCCAGCAGCUCUAGAGGCUGAGGUAGGAGGAUAGUGAAUUCAAAAGCAUGGUGCUAAGCAACUCAGUGAGACCCUGUCUCUA
RNAcentral lists this small RNA (110 nucleotides) under Marmota monax (woodchuck). The record is from RNAcentral. Lineage: Eukaryota; Metazoa; Chordata; Mammalia; Rodentia; Sciuridae.